UCCUGGGGGAGGCAGCAGUGGGGAAUUUUGGACAAUGGGCGCAAGCCUAAUCCAGCAAUGCCGCGUGUGUGAAGAAGGCCUUCGGGUUGUAAAGCACUUUUGUCCGGAAAGAAAUCCUCUGGGUUAAUACCUCGGGGGGAUGACGGUACCGGAAGAAUAAGCACCGGCUAACUACGUGCCAGCAGCCGCGGUAAUACGUAGGGUGCGAGCGUUAAUCGGAAUUACUGGGCGUAAAGCGUGCGCAGGCGGUUUUGUAAGACCGAUGUGAAAUCCCCGGGCUCAACCUGGGAACUGCAUUGGUGACUGCAAGGGCUAGAGUAUGGCAGAGGGGGGUAGAAUUCCACGUGUAGCAGUGAAAUGCGUAGAGAUGUGGAGGAAUACCGAUGGCGAAGGCAGCCCCCUGGGCCAACACUGACGCUCAUGCACGAAAGCCUGGGGAGCAAACAGGAUUAGAUACCCUGGUAGUCCACGCCCUAAACGAUGUCAACUAGUUGUUGGGUAUUCAUCCUUAGUGAACGCUGCUAACGCGUGAAGUUGACCGCCUCUGGAGUACAGUCGCGGGAUUAAA
Molecule: ribosomal RNA, 568 nt
Filed under: uncultured Pandoraea sp.
Lineage: Bacteria; Pseudomonadati; Pseudomonadota; Betaproteobacteria; Burkholderiales; Burkholderiaceae
Description: bacterial SSU rRNA
Rfam family: Bacterial small subunit ribosomal RNA
Source: RNAcentral